GGAACCAAAGUCUGUGUCCCUGGGGUCUGGCUGUUACUCUGCGAGAGUCCACAGAUGGACCUGGGUACUCACUGCUUGCUUAGGCCCAUGCCAGCUUAUAGGAGGGAGAAGAGGACAAAAAAAGGCCACAGUGUGCACCACAGUCCUAAGCAUUGUAGGACAAGGACAACCACCACAGGCUGGAGUAGGCAGGGCUGACUCUGUGGAAGAGGGGCUGCCUCGGCUUCGAGAGAGAAGGCGGGCUCUGGACAGGUGGGAUGGGGAGAGGAGAACAUUUCUCAAUGUGCAGGGUGAAGAGGGGAUAAACAUGGGGGAAGGCUGGUACAUGAUACAAGGCCGUGUACAUGACACAGCCAAGUCUGAGGUUUUCCUGAUAGGCCCUAGGGAGCCAGUGGAGGUGUUUGAGCAGCACUGUGAAACAGUGCUUGAGAUGAAUGGCUCUGCAGGAGCUGAGUUGGAAUAGUGUUUGUGAGGUCGUACCAACCCCCUUGCCUCUUUACCGGUGCUGUCUCCCCUCAGACGGAUUUCAAUGAGCUGGACUUGGAGACACUGGCACCCUAUAUCCCCAUGGACGGGGAAGACUUCCAGCUAAGCCCCAUCUGCCCCGAGGAGCGGCUCUUGGUGGAGAACCCACAGUCCACCCCCCAGCACUGCUUCAGUGCCAUGACAAACAUCUUCCAGCCACUGGCCCCUGUAGCCCCGCACAGUCCCUUCCUCCUGGACAAGUUUCAGCAGCAGCUGGAGAGCAAGAAGACAGAGCCCGAGCACCGGCCCAUGUCCUCCAUCUUCUUUGAUGCCGGAAGCAAAGCAUCCCUGCCACCGUGCUGUGGCCAGGCCAGCACCCCUCUCUCUUCCAUGGGGGGCAGAUCCAAUACCCAGUGGCCCCCAGAUCCACCAUUACAUUUUGGGCCCACAAAGUGGGCCGUCGGGGAUCAGCGCACAGAGUUCGUGGGAGCAGCGCCGUUGGGGCCCCCUGUCUCCCCACCCCAUGUCUCCACCUUCAAGACAAGGUCUGCAAAGGGUUUUGGGGCUCGAGGCCCAGAUGUGCUGAGUCCGGCCAUGGUAGCCCUCUCCAACAAGCUGAAGCUGAAGCGACAGCUGGAGUAUGAAGAGCAAGCCUUCCAGGACCUCAGCGGGGGGGACCCACCUGGUGGCAGCACCUCACAUUUGAUGUGGAAACGGAUGAAGAACCUCAGGGGUGGGAGCUGCCCUUUGAUGCCGGACAAGCCACUGAGUGCAAAUGUCCCCAAUGAUAAGUUCACCCAAAACCCCAUGAGGGGCCUGGGCCAUCCCCUGAGACAUCUGCCGCUGCCACAGCCUCCAUCUGCCAUCAGUCCCGGGGAGAAUAGCAAGAGCAGGUUCCCCCCACAGUGCUACGCCACCCAGUACCAGGACUACAGCCUGUCGUCAGCCCACAAGGUGUCAGGCAUGGCAAGCCGGCUGCUCGGGCCCUCAUUUGAGUCCUACCUGCUGCCCGAACUGACCAGAUAUGACUGUGAGGUGAACGUGCCCGUGCUGGGAAGCUCCACGCUCCUGCAAGGAGGGGACCUCCUAAGAGCCCUGGACCAGGCCACCUGAGCCAGGCCUUCCACCUGGGCAGCACCUCUGCCGACGCCGUCCCACCAGCUUCACUCUCUCCGUCUGUUUUUGCAACUAGGUAUUUCUAAUGCCAGCACACUAUUUACAAGAUGGACUUACCUGGCAGACUUGCCCAGGUCACCAAGCAGUGGCCUUUUUCUGAGAUGCUCACUUUAUUAUCCCUAUUUUUAAAGUACACAAUUGUUUUACCUGUUCUGAAAUGUUCUUAAAUUUUGUAGGAUUUUCUUCCUCCCCACCUUCAAUUACUUCUAAUUUAUAUUAUCCAUAGGUUUCUCUCCCUCCCUCUCCUUCUCACACACAACUGUCCAUACUAACAAAUUUGGUGCAUGUCUGUUCUUCUGUAGGGAGAGCUUUAGCUUCAUUUUACUAAAAAGAUUCCUCGUUAUUGUUGUUGCCAAAGAGAAACAAAAAUGAUUUUGCUUUCCAAGCUUGGUUUGUGGUGUCUCCCUCGCAGAGCCCUUCUCCUUUCUUUUUUAAAACUAAUCAUCAUAUUGUAAAUUUCAGGUUUUUUUGGUUUAAGCUGACUCUUUGCUCUAAUUUUGGAAAAAAAAGAAAUGUGAAGGGUCAACUCCAACGUAUGUGGUUAUCUGUGAAAGUUGCACAGCGUGGCUUUUCCUGAACUGGUGUUUUUCCCCCGCAUUUGGUGGAUUUUUUAUUAUUAUUCAAAAACAUAACUGAGUUUUUUUAAAAGAGAAAAUUUAUAUCUGGGUUAAGUGUUUGUUUAUCAUAUAUAUGGGUACUUUGUAAUAUCUAAAAACUUAGAAACGGAAAUGGAAUCCUGCUCACAAAAUCACUUUAAGAUCUUUUCGAAGCUGUUAAUUUUUCUUGGUGUUGUGGACACUGCAGACUUGUCCAGUGCUCCCACGGCCUGUACGGACACUAUGGAAGGCCUCCCCGUCGGCUUUUUGCCAUCUGUGAUAUGCCAUAGGUGUGACAAUCCGAGCAGUGGAGUCAUUCAGCGGGAGCACUGCGCGCUAUCCCCUCACGUUCUCUAUGUACUAUGUAUGUAUGUAUUAUUAUUAUUGCUGCCAAGAGGGUCUGAUGGCACGUUGUGGGGUCAGAGGGUGGGGCGGGGAAGUGCUCUAACUUUUCUUAAGGUUUUGUUGCUAGCCCUUCAAGUGCACUGAGCUAUGUGACUCGGAUGGUCUUUCACACGGCACAUUUGGACAUUUCCAGAACUACCAUGAGAUGGUUUAGAUGGGAAUUCAUGCAAAUGAGGGGUCGGAAAUGGUAUAGUGACCCCGUCCACGUCCUCCACGCUCACGACCUUGGAGCCCCGUGGAGCUGGACUGAGGAGGAGGCUGCACAGCGGGACAGCAGCUGGUCCAGACCAGCCCUGCAGCCCCCCUCAGCCGGCAGCCAGAUGGCCCCGCCAGGCCUCCAGGGAUGGCCCCUAGCCACAGGCCCUGGCUGAGGUCUGUGGGUCGGGCAGUGACAUGUAGGUAGGAAGCACUGAAAACAGUGUUCCCAGAGCACUUUGCAACUCACUGGGUAGGAGGGAUGACACCUCUGGUUUUUCAAUACCAAUUACAUGGAACUUUUCUGUAAUGGGUACAAUGAAGAAGUUUCUAAAAACACACACACAGCACAUUGGGCCAACUAUUUAGUAAGCCCGGAUAGACUUAUUGCCAAAAACAAAAAGUAGCUUUCAAAAGAAAUUUAAGUUAUCGGAGAAAUUCCUUAGUCAUGGUGUUGCGUAAAUCAUAUUUUAGCUGCACAGAAUUACCCCACACAGGGUGGCAGAACUUGAAGGGUCACUGACAUGUAAAUGCUGGGAUUUGAUUUCCUGUGUGUGUUGCCCUGGCAUUAAGGGCAUUUUACCCUUGCAGUUUUACUAAAACACUGAAAAAUAUUCCAAGCUUCAUAUUAACCCUACCUGUCAACGUAACGAUUUCAUGAACGUUAUUAUAUUGUCGAAUUCCUACUGACAACAUUAUAACUGUAUGGGAGCUUAACUUUAUAAGGAAAUGUAUUUUGACACUGGUAUCUUAUUAAAGUAUUCUGAUCCU
Molecule: small RNA, 3608 nt
Filed under: Pongo abelii (Sumatran orangutan)
Lineage: Eukaryota; Metazoa; Chordata; Mammalia; Primates; Hominidae
Description: retained intron
Source: RNAcentral